Molecule: ribosomal RNA, 253 nt
Filed under: uncultured bacterium
Lineage: Bacteria
Description: partial 16S ribosomal RNA
Rfam family: Bacterial small subunit ribosomal RNA
Source: RNAcentral
UACGUAGGGUCCGAGCGUUAAUCGGAAUUACUGGGCGUAAAGCGUGCGCAGGCGGUUUUGUAAGCCAGAUGGGAAAUCCCCGGGCUCAACCUGGGAAUUGCAUUUGUGACUGCACGGCUAGAGUGUGUCAGAGGGGGGUAGAAUUCCACGUGUAGCAGUGAAAUGCGUAGAGAUGUGGAGGAAUACCGAUGGCGAAGGCAGCCCCCUGGGAUAACACUGACGCUCAUGCACGAAAGCGUGGGGAGCAAACAGG